RNAcentral lists this ribosomal RNA (253 nucleotides) under uncultured bacterium. RNAcentral describes it as "partial 16S ribosomal RNA". It matches the Rfam family "Bacterial small subunit ribosomal RNA", at positions 524 to 776 of the family's 1533-position model. The record is from RNAcentral.
UACGAAGGGGGCUAGCGUUGCUCGGAAUCACUGGGCGUAAAGCGCACGUAGGCGGAUCUUUAAGUCAGGGGUGAAAUCCCAAGGCUCAACCUUGGAACUGCCUUUGAUACUGGGGAUCUCGAGUCCGGAAGAGGUGAGUGGAACUGCGAGUGUAGAGGUGAAAUUCGUAGAUAUUCGCAAGAACACCAGUGGCGAAGGCGGCUCACUGGUCCGGUACUGACACUGAGGUGCGAAAGCGUGGGGAGCAAACAGG